Molecule: ribosomal RNA, 429 nt
Filed under: Bacteroidota bacterium
Lineage: Bacteria; Pseudomonadati; Bacteroidota
Description: Bacteroidetes bacterium partial 16S ribosomal RNA
Rfam family: Bacterial small subunit ribosomal RNA
Source: RNAcentral
UAGGGAAUCUUCCGCAAUGGACGCAAGUCUGACGGAGCAACGCCGCGUGAGUGAAGAAGGAUUUCGGUUCGUAAAACUCUGUUGUUAGAGAAGAACAGCGCAUAGAGUAACUGUUAUGCGUGUGACGGUAUCUAACCAGAAAGCCACGGCUAACUACGUGCCAGCAGCCGCGGUAAUACGUAGGUGGCAAGCGUUGUCCGGAUUUAUUGGGCGUAAAGCGAGCGCAAGCGGUCAAUUAAGUCUGAUGUGAAAGCCCCCGGCUCAACCGGGGAGGGUCAUUGGAAACUGGUUGACUUGAGUGCAGAAGAGGAGAGUGGAAUUCCAUGUGUAGCGGUGAAAUGCGUAGAUAUAUGGAGGAACACCAGUGGCGAAGGCGACUCUCUGGUCUGUAACUGACGCUGAGGUUCGAAAGCGUGGGUAGCAAACAGG